GACGAACGCUGGCGGCGUGCCUAAUACAUGCAAGUUGAGCGCUGAAGGUUGGUACUUGUACCAACUGGAUGAGCAGCGAACGGGUGAGUAACGCGUGGGGAAUCUGCCUUUGAGCGGGGGACAACAUUUGGAAACGAAUGCUAAUACCGCAUAAAAACUUUAAACACAAGUUUUAAGUUUGAAAGAUGCAAUUGCAUCACUCAAAGAUGAUCCCGCGUUGUAUUAGCUAGUUGGUGAGGUAAAGGCUCACCAAGGCGAUGAUACAUAGCCGACCUGAGAGGGUGAUCGGCCACAUUGGGGCUGGGACACGGCCCAAACUCCUACGGGAGGCAGCAGUAGGGAAUCUUCGGCAAUGGACGAAAGUCUGACCGAGCAACGCCGCGUGAGUGAAGAAGGUUUUCGGAUCGUAAAACUCUGUUGGUAGAGAAGAACGUUGGUGAGAGUGGAAAGCUCAUCAAGUGACGGUAACUACCCAGAAAGGGACGGCUAACUACGUG
Molecule: ribosomal RNA, 497 nt
Filed under: uncultured bacterium
Lineage: Bacteria
Description: partial 16S ribosomal RNA
Rfam family: Bacterial small subunit ribosomal RNA
Source: RNAcentral